CAAUUUGCCAAAGGGGGAGUUUGUUGAUUCUAAGUGUUGGCAGCAAUUUUGGUAAAAUAAAGAGUGUUCACAAGAUGUCAUAUGUGAUGUCUUAACAUAAGAUAUCAUAUGUAUCUGCUGGAAGUUAUAUAAGGAAUUGUGGAUGUGUGGUGCUAGAUGUCAAGCUGCCACUGGAGGUGAGAAAGUGGUUUUAGGAAAUGGUGAUAGGGAGAAUACAUAAAGAAUGCAGACAAAAGUAGUGUCGAAUGUUAAGACAUAUCUUGCAACGGGUCUGACAGCAUU
This 282-nucleotide long non-coding RNA is filed under the name Lathyrus oleraceus (garden pea). RNAcentral describes it as "Pisum sativum (pea) long non-coding RNA (PSAT_LNC034054)". The record is from RNAcentral. Lineage: Eukaryota; Viridiplantae; Streptophyta; Magnoliopsida; Fabales; Fabaceae.